ACCUGAAAUUGAUGGGACAAAAACAUAGAAGAUAGUGACAUCGAGUCUGCACCUAAGCUCAUCGAAGUUCCAUUCCAGAACUGCAAAGGACAGGUCGAUCACUGGGUUGAGCCAUAUCUCAGAAUCUCAAUUGAAUGUGUGCAUCGAAGUGAAACACCAUACUUGAAGUGCCUCCUGAUCCAAGUGAUUGCUGAUGCUCUUUACUAUAACCCUUCAUUUACGCUGAGCAUACUGCUUGGUGUUGCUACAGAGAUCUUCAAUCUUUGGUUCCAUAUGCUACAACAAACGAAAAAAAAGUGAAGCUCGGGCUAAUUCUAAAAGGGAGCAUGAGAAGAAGGUUUGCUGCUUGGGCUUCACAUCAUUGCUCAGUCUUCCUGCUGAUCAAAUGCCAGCAGCAACCUUAGAGG
This is a long non-coding RNA of Ipomoea nil (Japanese morning glory), 407 nucleotides long. RefSeq lists it as uncharacterized. The record is from RefSeq and is a predicted model, not a curated record. The transcript has 3 exons. NCBI's taxonomy places the organism in Eukaryota, Viridiplantae, Streptophyta, Magnoliopsida, Solanales, Convolvulaceae.